GUAGGGAAUAUUGCGCAAUGGACGAAAGUCUGACGCAGCGACGCCGCGUGAGUGAUGAAGGCCUUAGGGUCGUAAAGCUCUGUUGAAUGGGAAGAAAAAAAUGACGGUACCAUUCGAGGAAGGACCGGCUAACUUCGUGCCAGCAGCCGCGGUAAUACGAGGGGUCCUAGCGUUGUUCGGAAUCAUUGGGCGUAAAGGGUGUGUAGGUGGCCAUGUAAGUCAGGUGUGAAAGCACCGGGCUCAACCCGGGAAGUGCACUUGAUACUGCGUGGCUUGAGUACCGAAGAGGGUAGUGGAAUUCCAGGUGUAGUGGUGAAAUACGUAGAUAUCUGGAGGAACACCGGUGGCGAAGGCGGCUACCUGGUCGAGUACUGACACUGAGACACGAAAGCAUGGGGAUCAAACAGGAUUAGAAACCCCAGUAGUCC
RNAcentral lists this ribosomal RNA (428 nucleotides) under uncultured bacterium. Its description in RNAcentral is "partial 16S ribosomal RNA". It matches the Rfam family "Bacterial small subunit ribosomal RNA", at positions 354 to 796 of the family's 1533-position model. The record is from RNAcentral.